Molecule: ribosomal RNA, 265 nt
Filed under: uncultured prokaryote
Description: partial 16S ribosomal RNA
Rfam family: Bacterial small subunit ribosomal RNA
Source: RNAcentral
UACGUAGGUGGCAAGCGUUAUCCGGAAUUAUUGGGCGUAAAGAGCGCGCAGGUGGUUGAUUAAGUCUGAUGUGAAAGCCCACGGCUUAACCGUGGAGGGUCAUUGGAAACUGGUCGACUUGAGUGCAGAAGAGGGAAGUGGAAUUCCAUGUGUAGCGGUGAAAUGCGUAGAGAUAUGGAGGAAUACCAGUGGCGAAGGCGGCUUCCUGGUCUGUAACUGACGUUGAGGCUCGAAAGCGUGGGGAGCAAACAGGAUUAGAUACCCG